RNAcentral lists this long non-coding RNA (389 nucleotides) under Mytilus galloprovincialis (Mediterranean mussel). The record is from RNAcentral. Lineage: Eukaryota; Metazoa; Mollusca; Bivalvia; Mytilida; Mytilidae.
GAUUUAAAUAAAAAAUGUUAAAAGUUAUGAUGAAACUUCUUUAGCUUGAUUUGGCAAAACUUUUAGGAAUUUUGGUCCUCAAUGCUCUUCAACUUCGUACUUUAUUUGGCCUUUUUAACUUUUUUGGAUUCAAGCGUCACUGAUGAGUCUUUUGUAGACAAAAUGUGCGUCUGACGUAUAUACUAAAUUUAGUCCUGGGAUCUAUGAUGAGUUUAUUUCCAGGCUGUACUGGUUCUAAAUGAGUAUUAACACAAAUGUGAAGUAUUAUUUUUGAAUAGGCUCCGACAGAAAGAACAGAUAUUGACUUUUAAAUAUCUGAUAUGGAACAUAAAAUAGCAAUUAUCAUACCAUCUGAAGCAUAAUUUACAAUAAAAUUAUUCAUGUUUCCC